Bos grunniens (domestic yak) is the source of this 105-nucleotide small nuclear RNA. The record is from Ensembl. Lineage: Eukaryota; Metazoa; Chordata; Mammalia; Artiodactyla; Bovidae.
GCUUGCUUUGGCAAUGCAUAGACUAAAACUGGAAUGAUACAGAGAAGAUUAGCAUGGCCCCUGUAGAAGGAUGACAUGCAAAUUUGUGGAGUAUUCCACAUUUUU